CAGGAUCCGCGGGGACCCGGUGGGAGCUGAAUGUAACUGCAGAAAUCUGCACGGCACAGCCCCAGAAUGGAGGCGGCUUCUCGUGCCCACCACCUUUUGUGAAAGCACCCUCCUCCCCUGGCCCCCAGCAGGGACUCGGGGGCAAUCUGAGUUUCCACCAACUUGACCCAUUUCACAGAUCCAAGUAAUCCUUGAGGCCACAUCUCUGGUCCUUGGGAACAUGCAUCAUAAAUCCCCCAAAAAAGGAAGGCCUACCCUAGACCCGGCCUGACAAUCCCUGGAGCACAGAUGAGACACCUCCAAGAAAGUGGGGGUUCCAGCAGACACCCCCAGCCCAGCCUGCCCCAUGCACCUGCUCCCAAAUUUCAUUUCCUAGACUUUCGGCCACAUGCUCGAUGGUGUCACAGUGGCCGUGAGGCGCUGCCUUGGAAAAAAGGAAAUGCAAUUGUCCGACCAAUAAAAAGCAUUCCUGUAUGUAA
Long non-coding RNA from Suricata suricatta (meerkat), 479 nucleotides. RefSeq lists it as uncharacterized. The transcript has 2 exons. Lineage: Eukaryota; Metazoa; Chordata; Mammalia; Carnivora; Herpestidae. The record is from RefSeq and is a predicted model, not a curated record.